GCCUGAGUGGCUCAUUUGGUUAAGCGUCUGACUUCAGUCCAGGUCAUGAUCUCACAGUUAGUGGGUUCAAGCCCCACAUCAGGCU
This is a transfer RNA of Felis catus (domestic cat), 85 nucleotides long. It matches the Rfam family "tRNA". From Rfam's summary of the family: Transfer RNA (tRNA) molecules are approximately 80 nucleotides in length. Their secondary structure includes four short double-helical elements and three loops (D, anti-codon, and T loops). Lineage: Eukaryota; Metazoa; Chordata; Mammalia; Carnivora; Felidae. The record is from Rfam.